UUUGCCAGGGUUGGUGUCACAUGACCAAUGGAGCAAAACGUGAUUGGUUGAAUGUUGGAUGACUGAGACAGGGAUUGAUUGCUUUUGUUUGCCACAGUUAC
This is a long non-coding RNA of Thalassophryne amazonica, 101 nucleotides long. RefSeq lists it as uncharacterized. The transcript has 3 exons. The record is from RefSeq and is a predicted model, not a curated record. NCBI's taxonomy places the organism in Eukaryota, Metazoa, Chordata, Actinopteri, Batrachoidiformes, Batrachoididae.